GGGCGGAUGGUUUAGUGGUAUAAUACUCCCUUAGCAAGUUUCCGUCUACGGAUUCGAGAUUGGGAGUGGUCCGGGGUUCGAUUCCCCGUUCGUCCA
RNAcentral lists this transfer RNA (96 nucleotides) under Metarhizium anisopliae. RNAcentral describes it as "tRNA-Ala". It matches the Rfam family "tRNA". Rfam says of the family: Transfer RNA (tRNA) molecules are approximately 80 nucleotides in length. Lineage: Eukaryota; Fungi; Ascomycota; Sordariomycetes; Hypocreales; Clavicipitaceae. The record is from RNAcentral. RNAcentral also lists the same sequence under 1 other name.